UGGAUUUGAAAGCCACCCCGCAAGCUGAUAAAUAAAAUAUAAGCAAAUAAAUAAAAACACCGUGGCCCCUUUAAAUGGGAAGACUGCAGAGACUGAAGGUGGGAGAAUAAAUUGGGAAAGAAAUUCCCUUUUCCACUUUGAAAGAAGAGUCUGAAACUUGUCCUUUCUACCUCUGGUGAUUUAAUCACAUAUGAUAACUGUAUAAAUCAAAUCUCCCUCAUUCCCUCUCAAGUAUGAAUUAGCUCUUAAUUAGGCCAUUGGACAAAAUUUCAAGUUAAAAUGAAAUGCAUCUUAUGAAUAGGUUGGAAUAUCAUCCUAUGUGAAGGUAAAGGUUAACUCAUCUGUCUCCUGCAAGUACAGCAGGGACCCAAUUUUAGUCUUGUUCUCAGUGGUUUGACCCCAGUAACUCCCAUUACUUUCUCCCGCUUUUCAUGAAUGCAGGUCAGCAGAGUCUUAUGCCAUCAGUGUUCCAGAUCUCAGCGAAGCAGACGAUGACACCACAUUGUCAUUUUCAUUCACAGGAGUAGAUUUUGUUUUCAAGCUUAUGGGUGCAGAACAGUAUUGCUUUUUUUGCUUUGUGUGAAAGCAAAAGUGGGGUCACAGAUGAUGGGGCAGAAGAAAACUUUUUACAAGCAGACUGAAAAGAGUGAAGCUGCAAGAAGAUGAGGUAGCACAUGAGGCUGAAAUCUGUUGUGUGAGGGCUCUCUCUGUUGCCGUCUGUUCACCAUCACCCAGCAGAUUAAGAGAUGAUUCCAAGUAUCCCAAAUCCAAGCCCACAAGCAUUUGGCAGAUGGUUCUGUGAUGAGUAACAAGCAUUUUGGAAAGGAAAUCCAUCUCCAUUUCUGAUCAGCAUUUUGGAGGUCAUGUCUUGUGAAGCAGAUAAUAAACUUCAUAUAAUAUGUUUUUGACA
RNAcentral lists this long non-coding RNA (910 nucleotides) under Pogona vitticeps (central bearded dragon). RNAcentral describes it as "lncRNA (ENSPVIG00000024182.1)". Lineage: Eukaryota; Metazoa; Chordata; Lepidosauria; Squamata; Agamidae. The record is from RNAcentral.